CCAGCGAAGGCAGACGAAGGCUGGAGCGGUCCCUCGGACCCUCCAGCGACGGCGGACGAAGGCUGGAGCGGUCCCUCGGACCCUCCAGCGAAGACGACGAAGGCUGGAGCGGUCCCUCGGACCCUCCAGCGAAGGUAGACGAAGGCUGGAGCGGUCCCUCGGACCCUCCAGCGGAUCCCGGACGAGCCCCCAUUAUGUUACACCACGGCCUAGGCAACCGGCGUGCAACACAGAAAAAAUAAAAAUAAGGGAAAAACAAAACAAAACAAAAAAAACUACUACGGGUCUCCACAAAAAAAAUCCCAAAACGAAAGGAUCGACAACUAUUUACAUCAAAGCAAAAUAAGACAUUUAUUUACAUCAAAACACCAAACUAUUUACAACCGGGGGAAGAUCGCGAACCUGACAAACUGAAACACAGGGCUUAAAUACAUAGAGGGAGCAAUCAGGGAAUGGACAACAGGAGGGAAACACAGCUGGGGCAAAUCAGAACUGACGAGACAAGGAAGCGUAAACUGAACACACUGAGAUAAGACAGACUUUCAAAGUAAAGCAGGAAACACAACCGUCACGCCUAAAACAAAACACUGACAACACCGAAUCGUAACAGUGCAUAUGUGGGAAAUCUACGACAGUCAACAUACAACUGCUUUUGAUUUUAUUAGCCUAGAUGUUGUGUUUUGAGUAUUUCUACAUGAUUUUGUGUUGUAUUCAGUGCAUUUUAAGGUUGUUAAAAUUGCC
Long non-coding RNA from Astatotilapia calliptera (eastern happy), 741 nucleotides. NCBI's taxonomy places the organism in Eukaryota, Metazoa, Chordata, Actinopteri, Cichliformes, Cichlidae. The record is from Ensembl.